CGGUUCCGGGAGGAGGCUCCGCGCAGGCUCGGCUCGCCCUCCCGCCUCCAAAGGGCACGGAGGCAGGGCGCGGGGCACCGUGGGCUCCAAUGGCCGGUCUCGCCCCGCCCCGCCGGGCCUCCCGAGGAUGGGGAUUGGCUGCCCGGCGCCGCCUACGCCCCGCCCCGCCCCGCCCCGCGCUGCAGAACCGGCCUCCGCGGUGCGCGCCGUGCGCCGGCCUCCCAGUCCCGUGCAGCCGGCGGUGAGUGCGGCGCAGCCGCCGCUACAUUGUAGCGGGCGGGGGUCCCGGCCCACCUUGUCUGCGGGGGCGAGAGCGGGUCCCUGAGCGACCGUGGGCCCCGGGAGAUUGUCUCCAGCGCCUGCGGACGCCCGGCCUGAGUACUAAGCGCAGGUAUGUCCCUUUUUUGAAAUGCAAUGACCCAGGCCCGGAGCACGUGGCUAAUGGCGACCAGAGGGUGCCGGGCGCCGGUUUGGCGCAAAGGCCAGAAUCUCCCCGCCUGGCCUGAAGGGCAUUUACCUUCGCGGCUCCGCGGGGCAGAACAGCUGCAUCUGAUGGAGUCGGAUUGUUCAAGAAGCCGCCGCGAUCUCGGGGUACUGGGGAGAGGCCUGCAGGAAGCCAUAGGGAACCCUGUAGGGAAACUUCACGUCGCCCUUUCCAGUGCCCUUUUAAGGUUGACUGAGUGCCUUAAGAGGCUAACACAGAAGGGUACAUGAAGCAAGUCUCCAUAAAACCCAGAGAAGAGGUGGCAAAACUCCUCUCUGGAUCCUGUCUGGAGUCACAGCUGAAACCAGGAAAUUCCCUUUCGGUUUGAGCGCCUUUUGUUAUUUUUACACAGCCAUGAGCAGAGUGAUCCAUUUCAUCUUAGCGGCCGGGAUACUCUCAGGCCUGCUUUUAAAACUCUGGGGGUACCAUCUAGUGUUUUCGAAUAGAUAUGGGAAUUUGGGUACUUUGGUUGUCUUUGAAGGCGGAAGAAAUCCAGAUGGUAGAACCUCAUGUACACAAGGCUUUUUCUGAACAUUUGAGACAUAUCUCAAAAGUUUUAACUGUUGAGUCAUUCAGUAACUUUUUUUUUUAUAGGUUAAAAACUACAGGUACGAGCCGUUGGUGCUGGAAUGCUGUGAUGCUGGUGUAUUUUAACGGACUCCAAACCGACUUUCAGGCUAAGUACGCAUAGCGAGGUCAGACAUGGUUAUAUAAGUUGUAGCAGCCACGUGUCCACACGCAGUAGCUGGUGGUGAAAGAGCAGAGCAGCGGGCACCUCCUGGUUUUCAUCUUUUCAUUUAAUUCUCACAACUAUGUGAAGAUAGAGCAACAUUAAAUCCCCCCACCAGUCCUUAUAGGACUCUGGGCCACCCCUAUAUCCACCAGGGACACAAGUCUUAGGGAUUGGAAGGAACACUAAUCUGUAUGGAAGGACCUCGCCCAGUUUUCUUACAUGAUAAAGUUCCAGGGAAUGCCAUUAGACCCACCAUACUAGGGUCAAACCCUAGGUUCAGCCUGAGGACCCACCUCCUCUGGACCUGGCUUACACCUUUUUUGCCAAAACAAAACAACCCAGAAUGCUUCUAAUAUUCCAGAUAAGGCUCAGCAGUCUCUUGUAUUAUCUCCUAAUUCCAAUAGCGGCUUAUCAAUUACCCAACCUUACUGCCUUUACUUUACAAUUCAAUACCACCUGCUGAGGAUCUAGAAAACCAGUAUCUCUUUGGAACUGGGGGGCACUUACUGCUGAGCUAGUCCAAGGAGAGCCUCCCAAAUCCUGGUAUUGCUAAGGGAAUCCCCUUAAGGGUGUAACCCAAGGGCAGUUGGGUCACUUAUCUGUGAUUCUCAAAACACCCUACUUUUGAAUUCCCAAAGGGGAGCCCUAUUGGAACAAUUCAU
Long non-coding RNA from Pipistrellus kuhlii (Kuhl's pipistrelle), 1879 nucleotides. RefSeq lists it as uncharacterized. Lineage: Eukaryota; Metazoa; Chordata; Mammalia; Chiroptera; Vespertilionidae. The record is from RefSeq and is a predicted model, not a curated record. The transcript is spliced from 2 exons.